RNAcentral lists this ribosomal RNA (371 nucleotides) under uncultured organism. RNAcentral describes it as "bacterial SSU rRNA". It matches the Rfam family "Bacterial small subunit ribosomal RNA", at positions 526 to 896 of the family's 1533-position model. The record is from RNAcentral.
CGUAGGGUGCGAGCGUUAAUCGGAAUUACUGGGCGUAAAGCGUGCGCAGGCGGUUCUGUAAGACAGGCGUGAAAUCCCCGGGCUCAACCUGGGAACUGCGCUUGUGACUGCAAGGCUAGAGUACGGCAGAGGGGGUGGAAUUCCACGUGUAGCAGUGAAAUGCGUAGAGAUGUGGAGGAACACCAAUGGCGAAGGCAGCCCCCUGGGUCGAUACUGACGCUCAUGCACGAAAGCGUGGGUAGCAAACAGGAUUAGAUACCCUGGUAGUCCACGCCCUAAACGAUGUCAACUAGGUGUUGGGUGGGUAAAACCAUUUAGUACCGGAGCUAACGCGUGAAGUUGACCGCCUGGGGAGUACGGCCGCAAGGUUA